GGCGGACGCUGGCGGCGUGCUUAACACAUGCAAGUCGAACGGAAAGGCCCUGCUUUUGUGGGGUGCUCGAGUGGCGAACGGGUGAGUAACACGUGAGUAACCUGCCCUUGACUUUGGGAUAACUUCAGGAAACUGGGGCUAAUACCGGAUAGGAGCUCCUGCUGCAUGGUGGGGGUUGGAAAGUUUCGGCGGUUGGGGAUGGACUCGCGGCUUAUCAGCUUGUUGGUGGGGUAGUGGCUUACCAAGGCUUUGACGGGUAGCCGGCCUGAGAGGGUGACCGGCCACAUUGGGACUGAGAUACGGCCCAGACUCCUACGGGAGGCAGCAGUGGGGAAUAUUGCACAAUGGGCGGAAGCCUGAUGCAGCAACGCCGCGUGCGGGAUGACGGCCUUCGGGUUGUAAACCGCUUUCGCCUGUGACGAAGCGUGAGUGACGGUAAUGGGUAAAGAAGCACCGGCUAACUACGUG
Molecule: ribosomal RNA, 468 nt
Filed under: uncultured bacterium
Lineage: Bacteria
Description: partial 16S ribosomal RNA
Rfam family: Bacterial small subunit ribosomal RNA
Source: RNAcentral